UACGUAGGGUCCAAGCGUUAUCCGGAAUCACUGGGCGUAAAGCGUGCGUAGGUGGAUAGUUAAGUGCAGUAUUAAAUCCCGUGGCUCAACCAUGUGGCUGUAAUGCAUACUGGCUAUCUAGAGGACAUGAGAGGCAAGUGGAAUUACUGGUGUAGCAGUGAAAUGCGUAGAUAUCAGUAGGAACACCAAUGGCGAAGGCAGCUUGCUGGCAUGUAUCUGACGCUAAGGCACGAAAGCGUGGGGAGCGAACAGG
Molecule: ribosomal RNA, 253 nt
Filed under: uncultured bacterium
Lineage: Bacteria
Description: partial 16S ribosomal RNA
Rfam family: Bacterial small subunit ribosomal RNA
Source: RNAcentral